RNAcentral lists this ribosomal RNA (423 nucleotides) under uncultured bacterium. Its description in RNAcentral is "bacterial SSU rRNA". It matches the Rfam family "Bacterial small subunit ribosomal RNA", at positions 359 to 775 of the family's 1533-position model. The record is from RNAcentral.
GAAUCUUCCGCAAUGGACGAAAGUCUGACGGAGCAACGCCGCGUGAGUGAUGAAGGUUUUCGGAUCGUAAAGCUCUGUUGCCAGGGAAGAACGCUUGGGAGAGUAACUGCUCUCAAGGUGACGGUACCUGAGAAGAAAGCCCCGGCUAACUACGUGCCAGCAGCCGCGGUAAUACGUAGGGGGCAAGCGUUGUCCGGAAUUAUUGGGCGUAAAGCGCGCGCAGGCGGUUCAUUAAGUCUGGUGUUUAAGGCUAGGGCUCAACCCUGGUUCGCACUGGAAACUGUUGAACUUGAGUGCAGAAGAGGAAAGUGGAAUUCCACGUGUAGCGGUGAAAUGCGUAGAGAUGUGGAGGAACACCAGUGGCGAAGGCGACUUUCUGGGCUGUAACUGACGCUGAGGCGCGAAAGCGUGGGGAGAAAACAG